Molecule: ribosomal RNA, 854 nt
Filed under: uncultured archaeon
Lineage: Archaea
Description: bacterial SSU rRNA
Rfam family: Archaeal small subunit ribosomal RNA
Source: RNAcentral
CCGACUGCUAUAGGGAUAGGACUAAGAUAUGCAAGUCGCACGCCUGUAACUACGUUCAGGAGUGGCGAACCGCUCAGUAACACGUUGACAACCUACCCUCAGAACGGGGACAAUUACGGGAAACUGUGACUAAUCCCCGAUAGACGGCGCUGCCUGGAAUGGUUCGUCGUCCAAAGCCACCUCCGCAUGUGGAGUGCGCGUCUGAGGAUGGGUCAGCGGCUGAUUAGGUAGUUGGUGGGGUAACUGCCCACCAAGCCGUCGAUCAGUACCGGCCGUGAAAGCGGGAACCGGGAGAUGGGCACUGAGACAAAGGCCCAGGCCCUACGGGGCGCAGCAAUCGCGAAACCUCUGCAAUCCGGGCAACCGGGACAGGGCUAUCCCUAGUGCCAUGCUAUCGCGUGGCUUUCGCCGACAGUAGGAAUGUCGGAGAAGAAGGGGAGGGCAAGGCUGGUGCCAGCCGCCGCGGUAAAACCAGCUCCUCAAGUGGUCGGGAUGAUUAUUGGGCCUAAAGCAUUCGUAGCCGGCCUCGCAAGUUCUUGGUCAAAUCCAACCGCUCAACGGUUGGGCCGCUGAGAAUACUACGAGGCUUGGGAGCGGGAGAGGCCGAGGGUACUCUUAGGGUAGGGGUGAAAUCCUGUGAUCCUAAGGGGACCACCAGUGGCGAAGGCGCUCGGCUGGAACGCGUCCGACGGUGAUGGAUGAAAGCCAGGGGAGCGAACCGGAUUAGAUACCCGGGUAGUCCUGGCCGUAAACGAUGCGGGCUAGGUGUCGGCCCGGCUACGAGCCGGCCCGGUGCCGAAGCGAAGGCGUUAAGCCCGCCGCCUGGGAAGUACGGUCGCAAGGCUGAAACUUAA